This 484-nucleotide ribosomal RNA is filed under the name uncultured bacterium. RNAcentral's name for it is "partial 16S ribosomal RNA". It matches the Rfam family "Bacterial small subunit ribosomal RNA", at positions 30 to 507 of the family's 1533-position model. The record is from RNAcentral.
AUUGAACGCUGGCGGCAGGCCUAACACAUGCAAGUCGAGCGGAUGAAGGGAGCUUGCUCCUGGAUUCAGCGGCGGACGGGUGAGUAAUGCCUAGGAAUCUGCCUGGUAGUGGGGGAUAACGUCCGGAAACGGGCGCUAAUACCGCAUACGUCCUGAGGGAGAAAGUGGGGGAUCUUCGGACCUCACGCUAUCAGAUGAGCCUAGGUCGGAUUAGCUAGUUGGUGGGGUAAAGGCCUACCAAGGCGACGAUCCGUAACUGGUCUGAGAGGAUGAUCAGUCACACUGGAACUGAGACACGGUCCAGACUCCUACGAGAGGCAGCAUUGGGGAAUAUUGGACAAUGGGCGAAAGCCUGAUCCAGCCAUGCCGCGUGUUGGAAGAAGGUCUUCGGAUUGUAAAGCACUUUAAGUUGGGAGGAAGGGCAGUAAGUUAAUACCUUGCUGUGUUGACGUUACCAACAGAAUAAGCACCGGCUAACUUCGUG